UGGAAGUAAAAGUCGUAACAAGGUCUCCGUUGGUGAACCAGCGGAGGGAUCAUUACCGAGUUUACAACUCCCAAACCCAAUGUGAACGUUACCAAACUGUUGCCUCGGCGGGAUCUCUGCCCCGGGUGCGUCGCAGCCCCGGACCAAGGCGCCCGCCGGAGGACCAACCAAAACUCUUAUUGUAUACCCCCUCGCGGGUUUUUUUAUAAUCUGAGCCUUCUCGGCGCCUCUCGUAGGCGUUUCGAAAAUGAAUCAAAACUUUCAACAACGGAUCUCUUGGUUCUGGCAUCGAUGAAGAACGCAGCGAAAUGCGAUAAGUAAUGUGAAUUGCAGAAUUCAGUGAAUCAUCGAAUCUUUGAACGCACAUUGCGCCCGCCAGUAUUCUGGCGGGCAUGCCUGUCCGAGCGUCAUUUCAACCCUCGAACCCCUCCGGGGGGUCGGCGUUGGGGAUCGGCCCUGCCUUGGCGGUGGCCGUCUCCGAAAUACAGUGGCGGUCUCGCCGCAGCCUCUCCUGCGCAGUAGUUUGCACACUCGCAUCGGGAGCGCGGCGCGUCCACAGCCGUUAAACACCCAACUUCUGAAAUGUUGACCUCGGAUCAGGUAGGAAUACCCGCUGAACUUAAGCAUAUCAAUAAGCGGAGG
This 642-nucleotide unclassified non-coding RNA is filed under the name Trichoderma afroharzianum. Its description in RNAcentral is "sequence contains 18S rRNA gene, ITS1, 5.8S rRNA gene, ITS2, 28S rRNA gene". The stretch from base 257 to 410 matches the Rfam family "5.8S ribosomal RNA". Lineage: Eukaryota; Fungi; Ascomycota; Sordariomycetes; Hypocreales; Hypocreaceae. The record is from RNAcentral.